CCUCCUCCUCCUCCUCUCCUCCCCUCCCCUCCUGCAGCCGCCGUCCCCUCCCCUCCCCUCCAUCACCCCGCCGCCUGCCAAUGCGCGCCGCCGGCCGCGGGGAAGGGGCGGGCACCGCUCCGCGGCCAUGGGAGGGAGGCAGGGGGGGCACGGAGAGACCCCCCCGGGUACAGGCAUUUUGGGGAGAGCCUGCACUAUGGGAGGAUGUGUAUUUUUUUUUUUUUUCCAGCCUCUCUACAAUGAGACUUGGGGGUGCGGCGUGGGGCAGGCUGGGCUGGGGAAGGUGAGGCCGUGCCCUCGCCCCUGGCACACGCAGCUGCUCCGUGCCACCCUGCGGGGUGGGUGCAAGCUUUCUGCCACCCUUCCAGGUGUUUUAAAGCCCCAAAUGGGUCAGAAAGGGCAAAUAUAGGAGCUCUGGGAGAGGACAGCUGGUGGGACCCCCCCGUCCAGCCACCAGCUGGGUGCUGGAUGCUGCAGAAGGUCACGCAGAGCUGUGCCCUGGGUGUGCAGCCCGUCCUUUUGCUUUUUGGGGACAAAUCCCACCGGCUGCACCCAUAUGGUGGUCCCGGGGGUCUCAUUGUGGCAGCAGGGGGCAGGUGGCAGUGCCGGGAUCCCCCUCCCUGCUCCCCAGCCACAUGGAUGGAGCAGCAGCAGGGAGCACACGGGUGUUUGCCUCCCGGGCUCCAAAAUCCUGCCCUUUUCCUCCCCCUGCGAUGCCACAGCAGGACGAGGCGAGCAGGUCGGACCUGCAGCCGUCCCCGGGCUCUGCUCCACCCAGCAAAAGGCGAAGCCAGGAGGGAAGCACCCCCCGAGCAGCCCACUUGGGUCUGCUUAAAAUUCCCCUCGCAGGAUGCUUUAGCCACAGCGAGCUAAGACAACUCCAGUGCUGAAUGAGAGUGCCCACGGGUGUAAUACGCUUUAAUUAAUGCGCUUUAACUUCCUUGUUUUAGAUCAUUAGCCCUCCUUUGAUGGAGUGCCCCCUCGCCGUCCUAAUGUUUUAUCUCCUUUCUCUCGGGGGUGUUUUACAAAGGAGGAAGGGAUGCCGGCUGCUCUCCGCCACCCCUCUGACAAGGGGCCUUCCUCCUGCGGGUGUCAGGGGCCAGGGGUGCUCCUUGACUCGCUUCCAGCUGUCCUUGGAAAUCCCCUUCUCUGCCUCAAGGACGCUUCGUGGCGUGACAGCAGCUUCACAGCUCCAAGAGGAGUUUGUUCUUUCCUCCCCGUGAUUCAGCCACAAGAGGUAUCCCUGCAGAGGGAGCUGAGGAAGAGGAGAUGGAGGUCGGUGCCCCAGGAGCAUUGCCGUGCGUCUGGCCCCGGCGCUGCAGCUGAAGGAGGUGCUUCGCUGGGGCCUUGUCCGGAAUUAAAACUGCUGAAGCUUUUCCAUCUGGGACCCAGAUGGGAUCCAAAACUCCUGGGGCCUUGCCUGCCUGACGGGAGAUCCGUCUCGGUCCUGAUCCUCCUACAGCUGCACUCGGGUGAUGUCCACCGGAGUUGGGGGGGAGCUGCGUGUGCGGGACUGCUGCCAGAGCCGGGCAGGAGAUGAAAGCUGGCAGGCCGCAUCCAGACCUGUAGCAGAGGCAGUGUGGGAGGAACGCCUACCCCAAGCACCUCUUUGUGGGGGAUGUCAAACAGGGGCAAAUAUGUCCAAGCCCUGCCAGCUGCUGCUACCACCCAAGAAGAAAUGCCUGCCGAGGGGAUGUGUGGGCAGCUGGAGCUGGAGGGGGCCCGCGAGGAAGCCAGGGGAAGGGGCUGUAGGCCCCAAAUGCCUUCCCCUUGCUCUCACCCUGCUCUCCUACAAUGCAAGCCUUGAUUUCGGUUCAAUCUGUGGAAAUAUCCCUCCUGCUCUUCCCCAGGCCGAUGACAUACAACGUGAUCUAUUUGUUUUUAAGGCACAAACAGGCCGCAUGGCCAACUUUUCAAAUCCAGCUGCUAAAUAGCACCUCCAGCUGGAUUUGACCUCCAGCCCCCCUUUGGUAUUGCUGUCUUGUGGCAAGAUGAGGCAUUGAAAUGAUGAGCUGGGACCCAGUCUGAGGCGUUAUUUUUAAGAUCAGAUCCUUGUUGGAGCUUCUGCCUUUGGCUUCGGGAGAAGUGCGCUGCUGCACAGCCGUGCGCUGGUGCCCCUGGCUCCAGUUCAUAAAGCAAUUGCUCCUUGAUUUUGCUCAGUUGCAUCACGCAUUGCAAAUGGGAUUGCUGUUUUUGGCACCGAUCAAAGCAGCGGAUUUCGCUGGAGAAAACAACAGAUGUGUCCAAGCCAUAGCUGCAGAGCAGGAAAAGGCCCCAAAUAAGGUGCGCUUCUGCAGCUCCCGCUCCCCGAUCCACGUUUUUCAAACAACCUUCACCUUUCUGAUAGCUGGAUCAAAGACCUGGGCUGAAAAUCGCCCACUGAAAUGCAGGCUGGGCGAAAUUCGGAUCUCUGCCUUGCCUGAUGGGGCUGUCUCAGCUUGGAAUUGGAGAACUGGGGAGCGCUGAUCCCGUUUUCCCCUGCUUCUUUCCUUCGUGGAGCCUGGACUCGGAGCUCCUUGCACACAGCAUGUGGGCAACCACCCGCCGCUGAACUGCAAACACCUCUGAGGCUCUGCGCGGGGGCAAAGGCACAUCCGUGGGCAUCCACACCUCGGUUCCCAUGUUUAACCUCGUUACAGAGGGGUGUGAGCUUCUGAGCAUCCAGGUGCCACGCGCGGAAGAAUCAUGGCCAGUGUGAGCCUGUAGCAUCCUGCUGGCUAUUUGCAGGGAGAUCACAGCUCCCGAGGGAUGCUCAGCCCACACCGCUGGUCUGAACUUGGCUUUUCUGACCCUUUCCCAGGGCGCUCUGCCCCGUGCCACACCGUGCAUGUCUGUGGGCUUCAGCGGGGCUGGAGGAAUGUGCCUAAUUUGAACCCUAAGGUUUAUAGGCGAUGCCUCCCCUUGCUGCCUUCCUAAUGGAAUUAUUCAACACCUGUAAUUAUAUGGCUAAAAUAGUAAAUAUGGGUAUUUCUGAGGAGUGUAACUAGUAGUUAGAGGACUCCUGGUCUGCUCCUGACUCUCCCGUGAACUUCCCUUCAUGCAAUGAACCCCACAGAGCUGCAGCAUGUGUGCCUUUGCCUUCUCUGCCUUGGGACAAGGUGUCCAGCGGGUGCUGUUUGUGUCCUGGCUGGGUUUUCCUGGCUGACAGCAAGAAUGGAAGCUCUCCCUGAGCUGGGCACCUUGAAGCUGCCAACCAAGUGUCUAAACCCAGUGCCCUCCUGACCUGCCCCUGCUCUGGGACGCCUGCAGCAGCAGCCAGGAGCCCGGUGUCCCCCCGAGGUGUCACCAAAUCCCUGCCCCAGCACCCAGGGACCUCAUGGGGCAGGAGAAGGAGGUGGCAUGGGCUGGGCUUUGCAGGUUGGCCGGCUCCUGCGUGGCAAAGUGCAGAAAAGAGUUGCCCGGCUGAGAUAAUCCACCGGCCCGCAGCUGCCUCUGUGAACAUUAGACUCGCCGAUCUGCCUAUGCAAAGAGAGGCCGGCGGGUCGAAGGUGGAAUUAAAUAUGGCUUUGUAGCACCAAUAAAUAAAGGAGAAACAGCGCGCUGUUGACUUGCAACUUCGCAUCUGCUGAGAGUGACUAAUUAACAGCGGCCCUAAUUGAAGUCGCCGGGGCUUAUCCUGCUUCGGGUUCGCUCCGCCAAGUGCCACAAAGUCACCUCGAAGUCACCAGGCUGUGCAAGGCGAGGGGAAGAUGGGCUGGAGGAAAGCUUCUCAUCUCACCAUGACAGAAAGUGGGACACAGAGGGGUAUUUUCAGUGUGAUCGAGGUCAUCACGUCCAUUUGUUUUUGGCUGGUGGCGUUCCUUCGCUUCUUCCCACUGCAAAAGCCUGGUGGGGUCGGACUCCUCCGCAGGGCAGCCCUCCUGUGUUCUGGCCUUCACCUCCUGUGGAUUUAGUUCUCUUCCUUGCCUGGCCUCCACUUUGGGGUAAAUAUAUCCAGUACUGUCUCUCUAGUGUAUCUCCUACAGGUCUAGGCUCCUCUCUAACAAAAAAGAAGGGCUGGGAGGUGCCCGAGAGCAAGUUGAAAUGGCCACGUGUCAGCUUGGCAGGAAAGGUUGGCGAACCUCAGGCGCCCCAAAAUAAACAGCAGGGAAGGAUUCGCACCCAGCUCUGGGUGUUCAUCAGCGGAGACAGAAACAGGCCGUGGAACAGGACAGCGAAGCAGCCUUGUCUUUCUCUGCUGCUGUUAACAGCUACUGGAGUCUUGAGAAAGCGCAAACACAGCUCCCUAAUUCCGCCCCUCUACCUGACAGGUCAGUCGAGGACACCUCCUGGGGCUCCCCAUUAAAGGUGGGGCACGGCAUUGAGCAUCUGCAAAUCUGCACCUGCAGCCUGCUGAGAAAGGGGAGCUCGAAGGGUCCCAGGUGAAACCCAAGCACCUUGCCCAGGUCCCCCUCUGCCAAUUCCUGGCCAGCAAUCCGGCCCCCCGUGGGAUGCCUCUCGGUUAUGAGAUGCUAAAUGACAGUGGCACCGCCUGAUUUUUAAUAUUUUCCUGAAUAUCUGGGAAAGACAUGCUCCUUAUGGGGAAAAAGAAAAAAAAAAUUGAAUCCAGCCCUUCUGUAGGUAUUGGAAGAAAUGAAGCUGGGCCGGGCGGCAGCUUUUGUGGCGGGGGAGCAGCUGGGGGCGGCUGGGGCUGGGGCCCCACUGGGUGGUGCUGUUAGCCCUGCGCCGCCUGCAAAAGUAUCCAGUUUAUAAAAUAAAUGCAACCCAACGCCGCCUUAAACCACAUGACAUAACAGCAGCUCGCGAGCUCCCAUUAAAAUCUCAAUUUGGGGAAAUUGAUUCUACCUCUGAGCAAUUGCGAUGCAAUUACUCCAACAGGCAGCAAUCAAGGAUCACAUCAAAACAACACCAAACUUUCAUCUCCUGCCUCCCAACCACCACCACAACAAAAAGCACCUGUCUUGCAAACGCAGCCCGCUCGCCCGAAACGUACAAUAAUGGUUAGGAAGAGCAGCGUGCAGGUCCCGGGCUGGAAGCAAGCCUCGACAGGGGCCGCUCGGGUUGGUGCCUCCGGAGUGUCCUGCCUCGGGGCUACAUCCUGCAGCUUUACGCCGCUCCCAACUGGGAUUUGGGGCUUUUUACGGGGCUGGUUCAGCAGGAGCAAGGCCAGCCGGGCUCCAGCUGCCCCUGCAAAGGGAUGUGGCCACAUCUGGGCAGCUGUCACCCCUCUUCAACCCACGCCCUGAAGCUUUGAGACCCCAGGGCUUUGGGGAGAGCUCUGCAAAUGAAGCGCUCCCGUCCUGCUGCCGGCCACCGGCCCCGUUAUAACGGGAAGGGGAAAAUAUUUGGGGAGGGUUGGCGGGGAGGGGAGAUAUUUCCAAUUAGCAAGGGGUUAUUCACCGGGCUGAGCCCAGGAGGGAGCAGUUUGGGUGGCAACCACCAGCGGGGAAUAAACGCCGGGCUCGGAGCAAGAGGGAGAAGAGCCGGGUUUGGGGAUAAAAGCGGAGGCAGCAGGAGGAGGCAGCCGGAGGCCGGUGGCCUCGCCGGGUCCCACUGCGGGAGCCAGGGCCAUGCAGGGAGCUGGGGGCAGCAUGCAGCCAUGGGGGGCCCCGCACAGUCCCCCCAAAAUCCCCUCCCCUUACCUUAGCGGCCGCAUCAGCCUCUCCAGCCCGCCGCGGGGUUGGCGCAGGGAGCGGUGGCUUGUUCUUAUUAUGAAUUCUUAUUAUUAGUUAGUAUUUCUCCAGGAAGACGGGGGAGGGAAUGAAAUAAAAAUAAAUAAAUAAAAUUAAAAAAAAAAAAAAAAA
Molecule: non-coding RNA, 5744 nt
Organism: Anas platyrhynchos (mallard)
Lineage: Eukaryota; Metazoa; Chordata; Aves; Anseriformes; Anatidae
Source: RefSeq, a predicted model, not a curated record